This 896-nucleotide ribosomal RNA is filed under the name uncultured bacterium. RNAcentral describes it as "bacterial SSU rRNA". It matches the Rfam family "Bacterial small subunit ribosomal RNA", at positions 11 to 915 of the family's 1533-position model. The record is from RNAcentral.
GUUUGAUCCUGGCUCAGGAUGAACGCUAGCGGCAGGCUUAACACAUGCAAGUCGAGGGGUAAGGUAGCAAUAUCUGAGACCGGCGCACGGGUGCGUAACGCGUAUGCAAUCUACCUUUUACAGAGGGAUAGCCCAGAGAAAUUUGGAUUAAUACCUCAUAGUAUAAUUGAAUGGCAUCAUUUAAUUAUUAAAGUUCCAACGGUAAAAGAUGAGCAUGCGUCCUAUUAGCUAGAUGGUAAGGUAACGGCUUACCAUGGCUACGAUAGGUAGGGGUCCUGAGAGGGAGAUCCCCCACACUGGUACUGAGACACGGACCAGACUCCUACGGGAGGCAGCAGUGAGGAAUAUUGGACAAUGGGCGCAAGCCUGAUCCAGCCAUGCCGCGUGCAGGAAGAAGCAUCUAUGGUGUGUAAACUGCUUUUGUACAGGAAGAAACAUCCCGACGUGUCGGGACUUGACGGUACUGUAAGAAUAAGGAUCGGCUAACUCCGUGCCAGCAGCCGCGGUAAUACGGAGGAUCCAAGCGUUAUCCGGAAUCAUUGGGUUUAAAGGGUCCGUAGGCGGUUUAAUAAGUCAGUGGUGAAAUCUGGUCGCUCAACGAUCAAACGGCCAUUGAUACUGUUAGACUUGAAUUACUAGGAAGUAACUAGAAUAUGUAGUGUAGCGGUGAAAUGCUUAGAUAUUACAUGGAAUACCAAUUGCGAAGGCAGGUUACUACUAGUGGAUUGACGCUGAUGGACGAAAGCGUGGGGAGCGAACAGGAUUAGAUACCCUGGUAGUCCACGCCGUAAACGAUGGAUACUAGCUGUUGGGAGCAAUCUCAGUGGCUAAGCGAAAGUGAUAAGUAUCCCACCUGGGGAGUACGUUCGCAAGAAUGAAACUCAUAGGAAUUGACG